CCUACAACGGCUUCCUGAAGUAGGUGUUUUUUUUUGGAGCA
Molecule: non-coding RNA, 41 nt
Filed under: unclassified sequences
Description: SAM-SAH-Weickhmann-2018 RNA
Rfam family: SAM/SAH riboswitch aptamer
Source: RNAcentral